AGGGUUUGAUUAUGGCUCAGGAUGAACGCUGGCGGCAUGCCUAAUACAUGCAAGUCGAACGAACUACCUCUAUGACCUUGAAAGUGCUUGCACUGGAUUGUGAUUAGAAUUUGUAGUUAGUGGCGGACGGGUGAGUAACACGUGGGUUACCUGCCACACAGAAUGGAAUAACUAUUGGAAACGAUAGCUAAUACCGUAUAUGACCUUCGGGUUGAAAGGGGCGUUUGCCUCGCUGUGUGAUGGGCCUGCGGCGCAUUAGCUAGUUGGUAAGGUAAAGGCUUACCAAGGCGACGAUGCGUAGCCGGACUGAGAGGUCGAUCGGCCACAUUGGGACUGAGACACGGCCCAAACUUCUACGGGAGGCAGCAGUAGGGAAUUUUCCGCAAUGGACGAAAGUCUGACGGAGCAAUGCCGCGUGAGUGAUGAAGGUUUUCGAAUCGUAAAGCUCUGUUGUAAGGGAAGAACAGCACUAGUAGGAAAUGACUAGUGUGUGACGGUACCUUACCAGAAAGCCACGGCUAACUACGUGCCAGCAGCCGCGGUAAU
RNAcentral lists this ribosomal RNA (546 nucleotides) under uncultured bacterium. Its description in RNAcentral is "bacterial SSU rRNA". It matches the Rfam family "Bacterial small subunit ribosomal RNA", at positions 8 to 524 of the family's 1533-position model. The record is from RNAcentral.